Molecule: long non-coding RNA, 1077 nt
Filed under: Marmota monax (woodchuck)
Lineage: Eukaryota; Metazoa; Chordata; Mammalia; Rodentia; Sciuridae
Source: RNAcentral
CUGGAACAUGUCACCUGGUAAUCUGUUCACUGGUGGUUUCCUCAGUCCACAUUUCAGAUGCUGGCUUUUUCUGAUAGUAGGAAAUACAGUGACAUGGCCUCACUGCCCAGGACUCCUCAAACUUCUUGCCACAGGAAUGCAACAUUACUUAUUUGCAGACAACUAAAAUUUAACACCCACUCACAGUGUGGUACAUGCAAAAAUCCUGAUACCUGGACAAAGGGUAGCACGAGAUUAAGGGCAACCUUGUGCAGGAGCUCGGGGAAGCCUAGAGAGCAGGGCUUGUCAGAUCUCAAUGGAUGGUCAUAAGACAUGACAGGCACAGGACCACAGCGGAGGUGGCCAGCACCCACCUCUGCUGUUUCAUACAUGCACUCCAACCUCCCCCUGGGCUGCUAUCUGCUUUCAGAGGGUACAAAGACCUUAAUGUAACAAUGACCUACUAAGUUCAUGGCAGGAGAGCCAUCCAGAGGGCCAGCCUCUGUUGCUAGGUGCCCACUGUCAAAUGAUAUCAGACCUUUUGUGUACCGGGGGGAGCAAGCUGAGGUUGCAACAGUAAUGGCCAGCUCCUGCUGCUAUGUUCAUACAACUUCUAGCUCCCUUUCUGACCAGAGUCCUUCCUAAGAGAAAUGGUGUCUGCAACAGGAGACAACCCUGGGCCCCAGUCGGUGGCAAAGUUCGAGCCUCUACUAUCAUAUCCACACAGCUAUAAAUGCCUUCAUUGCCAGGCUAUUGACCUCCUGGGACAAACAGGAAUGUGAAUGAAUGCAAUGACCUACUCUCUGCAGGGGAGGAGAGCUGGACCCCAGUGGGCCCAGAUCUCAGACCAGUUGUGUAAAGGAUCCGCAGUUCUGUGGGGAGCACAAGCAACCUCAUCAGCUGGGAAAGUCAGAGAAAGGGCAGAUGACAACAACGGGAGUCGGUCACAAUGCCCAGCAGGCACAGAUGACAGAUUCUCAGAGCCAGACCCCAACUGACAGGACCAGAACCUGGGAGAGGUGCAGUCGGUCCUCUCCCCAAGUUGACCCGCAAAGCUUCAGAGUCUACCAGGCGGAAGUUUGUGGAGCUACUACGGCU